Molecule: ribozyme, 122 nt
Filed under: Aedes aegypti (yellow fever mosquito)
Lineage: Eukaryota; Metazoa; Arthropoda; Insecta; Diptera; Culicidae
Description: drz-agam-1 ribozyme
Rfam family: drz-agam-1 ribozyme
Source: Rfam by way of RNAcentral
UGCCCAACAACUCCUACCCCUACCUCCUUGCGGUACUGGCCGGGAUACGAGUAACCUUAGCCUUAGGGAAGAUCGGGUAACCAACCCCGGUGGUAACUUUGAUCGUAUGCUGGCAGGGAAAG